Molecule: ribosomal RNA, 433 nt
Filed under: uncultured bacterium
Lineage: Bacteria
Description: partial 16S ribosomal RNA
Rfam family: Bacterial small subunit ribosomal RNA
Source: RNAcentral
AGCGAACGCUGGCGGCAGGCCUAACACAUGCAAGUCGAACGAACUCUUCGGAGUUAGUGGCGGACGGGUGAGUAACACGUGGGAACGUGCCCUUUGGUUCGGAAUAACUCAGGGAAACUUGUGCUAAUACCGAAUGUGCCCUUCGGGGGAAAGAUUUAUCGCCAUUAGAGCGGCCCGCGUCUGAUUAGCUAGUUGGUGAGGUAACGGCUCACCAAGGCGACGAUCAGUAGCUGGUCUGAGAGGAUGACCAGCCACACUGGGACUGAGACACGGCCCAGACUCCUACGGGAAGCAGCAGUGGGGAAUCUUGCGCAAUGGGCGAAAGCCUGACGCAGCCAUGCCGCGUGAAUGAUGAAGGUCUUAGGAUUGUAAAAUUCUUUCACCGGGGACGAUAAUGACGGUACCCGGAGAAGAAGCCCCGGCUAACUUCGUG